AUACGGAGGGAGCUAGCGUUGUUCGGAAUUACUGGGCGUAAAGCGCACGUAGGCGGCUAUUCAAGUCGGGGGUGAAAGCCCGGGGCUCAGCCCCGGAACUGCCCUCGAAACUAGGUAGCUAGAGUCUUGGAGAGGCGAGUGGAAUUCCGAGUGUAGAGGUGAAAUUCGUAGAUAUUCGGAAGAACACCAGUGGCGAAGGCGACUCGCUGGACAAGUAUUGACGCUGAGGUGCGAAAGCGUGGGGAGC
This 247-nucleotide ribosomal RNA is filed under the name uncultured bacterium. Its description in RNAcentral is "partial 16S ribosomal RNA". It matches the Rfam family "Bacterial small subunit ribosomal RNA", at positions 523 to 769 of the family's 1533-position model. The record is from RNAcentral.